CGGGACGGGGUGGAGUAAUGUCUGGGAAACGUGCCUGAUGGAGGGGGGUAACUACUGGAAACGGUAGCUAAUACCGCAUAACGUCGCAAGACCAAAGAGGGGGACCUUCGGGCCUCUUGCCAUCGGAUGUGCCCAGAUGGGAUUAGCUAGUAGGUGGGGUAACGGCUCACCUAGGCGACGAUCCCUAGCUGGUCUGAGAGGAUGACCAGCCACACUGGAACUGAGACACGGUCCAG
This 236-nucleotide ribosomal RNA is filed under the name uncultured bacterium. RNAcentral's name for it is "partial 16S ribosomal RNA". It matches the Rfam family "Bacterial small subunit ribosomal RNA", at positions 104 to 334 of the family's 1533-position model. The record is from RNAcentral.